CCCUUAGAUGUUCUGGGCCGCACGCGCGCUACACUGACUGGUGCAACAAGUCUAUAACCUUGCCCGAUGGGGCUGGGUAAUCUUCGAACGCCAGUCGUGAUGGGGCUAGAUUAUUGCAAUUAUUAAUCUUCAACGAGGAAUUCCUAGUAAACGCAAGUCAUCAGCUUGCAUUGAUUACGUCCCUGCCCUUUGUACACACCGCCCGUCGCACCUACCGAUUGAAUGGUCCGGUGAAACCUCGGGAUCGAAUCGCUGUGGGGCAACCCUCGCGUGUUUGAAAACUUGGUUAAACCUUACCAUUUAGAGGAAGGUGAAGUCGUAACA
Molecule: ribosomal RNA, 324 nt
Filed under: uncultured eukaryote
Lineage: Eukaryota
Description: partial 18S ribosomal RNA
Rfam family: Eukaryotic small subunit ribosomal RNA
Source: RNAcentral